UAUGUUGUGGGUGUCGAUCGAU
RNAcentral lists this non-coding RNA (22 nucleotides) under Arabidopsis thaliana (thale cress). The record is from RNAcentral. Lineage: Eukaryota; Viridiplantae; Streptophyta; Magnoliopsida; Brassicales; Brassicaceae.